UAGGUCAUUGAUGACCUGGUGUCAUCCGAAGUCUUGUCACAAAUGACAGGAACUCGAUUCUGUUAUUGAGACGGGCUUAUGGCGGAUGUAUUGCUGAAACGUUCCCGUCAAUUCAAGAAAAACACGCACUUACCAGCUUACGAUUCAAUAUCAACCGGUAGACUUAGCGAAGCCCUUGGCUAGUAGCCGAUUCGAGAAUCAUCGUCAUUUGCAGAUGCGCUCGCCAUUUUCUUCUCUAAUCGAAAAAUACUCAGUAUCUCCAUGUACUUAUUGUUAGAAACAACUCUGCAAACAAAAUAACGAGCAAGACAAAUCUUAAGAAGAAAGUAGUUAACCAAGAAAUGUUUGGAAGAGCAGAAGUGAGAAGCUGAACAGGAGCAAUCUAAAAAAACACCUUUUCCUUUUUACACUGAUGUCUGGAGCAGAAGCUAGUAAAUAUUCUGAAUAAAGCAAUGUAAUACGCAAGACUCACAAUCCUAUAACAACUUUAUAAAAAAAACAAUAUGAAAAGCAAAAGAAAGGACUGCAGUGAAUUACUUUGCUUUUCAAGUAACCAGGCAUCCUCGAAAUUUGGCAGGAGGGUAUAUUACAGUAUAAGUGUGAAGAAAAUCAAAUUCUUUAACACUAUGUAGCAAGAAUCUUUAAUUUGUUGAGCAGUCAUAUACUGAUUUCUUUCCCACAACUUUGUUUAGGGAUAAUCAUAUUAUUCAUCUCAUAUUUACAAAGCAACUUGUAUGGCGCUAUAUUUAUAAAAUAUAUUGUACAAAGAUAAACCAUACAAUAUUUAUACUAAACUGUAUAAAGCCCUAGUACAUGACAAGUAAUAAAUAUAGUUAUGAUAUUGUCAAAGAAAAA
This is a long non-coding RNA of Nematostella vectensis (starlet sea anemone), 855 nucleotides long. RefSeq lists it as uncharacterized. The record is from RefSeq and is a predicted model, not a curated record. The transcript has 2 exons. NCBI's taxonomy places the organism in Eukaryota, Metazoa, Cnidaria, Anthozoa, Actiniaria, Edwardsiidae.